This 728-nucleotide ribosomal RNA is filed under the name Clostridium botulinum D/C. RNAcentral describes it as "partial 23S ribosomal RNA". It matches the Rfam family "Bacterial large subunit ribosomal RNA", at positions 1999 to 2725 of the family's 2925-position model. The record is from RNAcentral. Lineage: Bacteria; Bacillati; Bacillota; Clostridia; Eubacteriales; Clostridiaceae.
GCGUAAUGAUUUGAGCACUGUCUCGGCAAUAAAUCCGGUGAAAUUGUAGUGCAAGUGAAGAUGCUUGCUACCCGCGGUUGGACGGAAAGACCCCGUAGAGCUUUACUGUAGCUUAGCAUUGAAUUUCGGUAUUGUCUGUACAGGAUAGGUGGGAGACUUAGAAGCGAGGGCGUCAGCUUUCGUGGAGUCGUCCUUGGGAUACCACCCUGACAGUACUGGAAUUCUAACUGGAGGCCAUGAAUCUGGUCACAGGACAUUGCUAGGUGGGCAGUUUGACUGGGGCGGUCGCCUCCUAAAAGGUAACGGAGGCGCCCAAAGGUUCCCUCAGCGCGGUCGGAAAUCGCGCGUAGAGUGCAAAGGCAGAAGGGAGCCUGACUGCGACACAUACAGGUGGAGCAGGGACGAAAGUCGGGCUUAGUGAUCCGGUGGUUCUGUAUGGAAGGGCCAUCGCUCAACGGAUAAAAGCUACCUCGGGGAUAACAGGCUGAUCUCCCCCAAGAGUCCACAUCGACGGGGAGGUUUGGCACCUCGAUGUCGGCUCGUCGCAUCCUGGGGCUGUAGUCGGUCCCAAGGGUUGGGCUGUUCGCCCAUUAAAGCGGCACGCGAGCUGGGUUCAGAACGGCGUGAGACAGUUCGGUCCCUAUCCGCCGUGGGCGUAGGAAAUUUGAGAGGAGCUGUCCUUAGUACGAGAGGACCGGGAUGGACCAACCUCUGGUGCACCAGUUGUU